UGUAUAUACAGAAGAUCUGGAUUUAGAUUUCAUUGCCCCAACGGAUUCGAAGAAAGAGGAAGUACAGUUUCGUGGCCGAUGAAAUUAACGUCUUCGAAUGCAAGUUGCGUCUGAAGUCAUUAGGCUGAGGGCACGUCUGCUUGGACCUUAUUUGCAAGUUGUGUCUGAAGUCAUUAGGCUGAGGGCACGUCUGCGUGGACAUUAAAAUAACGUUAUAAUGUACACAAACAGGAAAUAUAUGCAGGGGCAUGUAUAUUCUUUUAGGUACUGGGCUUAUAGUUUGUUUUAUUUUAUGAUACGUUUCCAGAUUUGGAUGUAUUUUGUAAUUCUUACAUUUCUGUGUAGCAAGUUAUAGAAGAUAUAUAGAAGUUACUUUUAAAAUAUUUUUAAAA
This is a long non-coding RNA of Solanum stenotomum, 392 nucleotides long. RefSeq lists it as uncharacterized. The record is from RefSeq and is a predicted model, not a curated record. Lineage: Eukaryota; Viridiplantae; Streptophyta; Magnoliopsida; Solanales; Solanaceae. The transcript is spliced from 2 exons.